Centruroides sculpturatus (bark scorpion) is the source of this 1017-nucleotide long non-coding RNA. RefSeq lists it as uncharacterized. The transcript is spliced from 3 exons. The record is from RefSeq and is a predicted model, not a curated record. NCBI's taxonomy places the organism in Eukaryota, Metazoa, Arthropoda, Arachnida, Scorpiones, Buthidae.
GUUUCAAAGAGGAUGAACAAACUUGUCCUGUACAGACACACACUAACAUCAUAAAUACAGAAAAAAGAAUUGUUUCAAGGUCCCAAGUCCAAAAAUAUAAAAAUCUUGAGGGUCAUGUUUUGACUGAUCACCAUACUUUCCCUCUGUUAUAUAUAACAGCCAGUAAAGUAAAAAGAGUAAAUGGAAAAACCUGACAGAACAAAAUUUAUAGAUUUAAUUUAAAAUAUUCUGAUUACUAACUUAAUUUUACAGAGAGUUCAUUGCUCAAUCUGUAGCUCGAACCAACUUAAUAUUAUUGGCAAUACGUAGUACAUGUGCUUGCGAGACAACAACUGUGACUUUAGAGCCAAGAAAAGAAGCACAGGACACAGAAGCUAAAUGUUAUAAAAUGAAAAAUGAUAAACUUAGAAGCAGACCACCAAGUUGCAUUAAUAAUCAUGCAGAGGAGAUUGAAAUCAAACAGUGUGGAAGAGGAUCAGUGCUCAGUGCUUCCAUUUAUUCCCAGUGUGGAAUCCUUUUACUCUUAAGAAUGCUUAAUAAAUAUUUGAUAUAAACACAAUAAGAAAAUAUUUUGCUGUGAUUGGACAGAAAAAAAAUGAAGUGCUCUGAAUUAAGAGUAUCUGUUCCAUAUCAGCCUUUUUCUUAUGAAUUGACACCAUGCUUCAAUUCAGAAACACUGGUUAAAUCAUGUUUGAUGGAGACGAUAUAUAUGAUAGAGUCCAGAAUUCAAAGUUUUGUGACAUAUCAAUUCAUUCACAAAAAUUGGUUAUGCUUCAGAUUAAAUUAAUUUUGUUAAAAAAUAAAUAAAUUUUAUUUUCACACUGUUUAUUAUUUUCACAACUGUAAUGAUGAUGAAUAUAAUUCAAUAAAAUAACACUGAAAAAAAUGAGAUUGACUUUAUCUACGUACAAAAUUUUUAUGUAUUAAUAAAAAUUAAAAAGAAGGUAAUAAUAAUAUAUAAUCUUGGUUGUAAAUAAAUUCAAAUUACAAUUAAAAAAAACUAUGUAUAGUAAAAAA